UUCUCUUCCUUCUUUCUUUUCAUUUUCCACUUCUCUCUCCCCUCACACCUCUUCUCUCCCCUCACGCCACCACCCCUAGCCAUUGAUCUACUCUCUCUUCCAUCACGCCGGAGUCACAAUCCCCAGCCACCACCAACUUGUAAAGCCCCUCACAGCCCAUUGAUUUCAGGUUGUUCAGGUGGAAUAUUAUUGAAGUCCAGUUAACUUGAAGAGCAUAGCUCAAAUCAGUACUCCCGAUGCAAGUUCUCUCUUGGUUCAGCCAUAUGACAAAUCCAUGUAUUCUAUAAACUAAAGGACAUAAAAUGGUUGUUGAGGAAGAUCGAAACAUUCUCCAUUUAAUUUUAUGUGAUAAAUACAUGUAUACUAGUAAGUAAGAACAAAGACUAAAAUUUUCUCUGAUUCUCGUAAAUUAAUAUGCUAGUGAAUCUUCCAUAAAUUUUUGACAGCCAAAGGUGAUCCAAUUGUCCAAUUAUUUUGAGUUAUAGAGCAUUGACAUCUUGCAUUGCAGGACUGGCCCAUGAAAUCUUUCAUAUGAUCUCUCUUUGACAAUCUAUUUUACUUUUUGAUAUGUUAUGUUUGUCAGCUUAAAGGCUAUAGAGAAGGCCAUAGUGGGCUCUGAUCUUGGUAUGACUCCAAAAAACGAUGGAGAAGUGAUAAGAUUGACUCUCCCUCAACUUACAUCAUAAAGGAGGAAGGAAUUCUUAAAAAUAGUAGCUAAACUGGCUGAAGAAGGGAAGGUACAGUGGGGUUGAGAAGAAUAUGUUAAAAAUGCAAAAAGAGUGUCACCUAAGUGACACUAUUUUUUGGGGUUGAGAAGUCAGACAUAAUUGGCCUGUAACAUUUUUUUUGGGUUUGUAACUUUCUUGAAACACAUGGGAAUUCAUCCAAUGUCUGUAUUUGACAUGGCACUGUACACUUUACCAAAGUGCACAUAUUCUAAAAAUGUAUAUGUUUAUUAAUCUUUGGUUAUAGACCAAUACAUAGGCUAUGUUAAAGUCACUAAAUUUGUCCUCUUGAAUACCACCUUCCCCUAAACUGUUUAUAGGUGGCAUUGAGGAACAUAAGAAGAGAUGCUUUAAAAGCCUGUGAAAAACUUGAGAAGGAGAAAAAGCUCUCUGAAGACAUUGCGAAGGACUUGUCAAGUGAUUUGUAGGUAACUUGAUGCUUUUGAAACUUCACAAACAUGGGAUCAACUGUAUGGAGCUUCCCCUCAUUUAGCAUACACAGGGACUUGAUCUAGAUAGGCUUUCUUUUGUAUUAAAUAGUAAGAUCACAUGCUUUUUGUAUGGAGCUUCCCCUCAUUCAUAGGAAGGCUAGUAUAGAUCUUGUCAUAAUUCUAGUUGUUUAAGUUUAAAACAAGGUUUAAUUUCAGGAUUUCUUUGUAGAUUCUAUAUUUUAAAGUUUGAACUUAUAUGAAUUUUUA
Molecule: long non-coding RNA, 1423 nt
Organism: Quercus lobata
Lineage: Eukaryota; Viridiplantae; Streptophyta; Magnoliopsida; Fagales; Fagaceae
Exons: 4
Source: RefSeq, a predicted model, not a curated record